AACGAACGCUGGCGGCAUGCCUAACACAUGCAAGUCGAACGAAGCCUUCGGGCUUAGUGGCGCACGGGUGCGUAACGCGUGGGAAUCUGCCCUUGGGUUCGGAAUAACAGUUAGAAAUGACUGCUAAUACCGGAUGAUGUCUUCGGACCAAAGAUUUAUCGCCCAAGGAUGAGCCCGCGUAGGAUUAGGUAGUUGGUGGGGUAAGGGCCCACCAAGCCGACGAUCCUUAGCUGGUCUGAGAGGAUGAUCAGCCACACUGGGACUGAGACAUGGCCCAGACUCCUGCGGGAGGCAGCAGUGGGGAAUAUUGGACAAUGGGCGAAAGCCUGAGCCAGCAAUGCCGCGUGAGUGAUGAAGGCCUUAGGGUUGUAAAGCUCUUUUACCAGGGAUGAUAAUGACAGUACCUGGAGAAUAAGCUCCGGCUAACUCCGUGCCAGCAGCCGCUGUAA
This 449-nucleotide ribosomal RNA is filed under the name uncultured bacterium. RNAcentral describes it as "partial 16S ribosomal RNA". It matches the Rfam family "Bacterial small subunit ribosomal RNA", at positions 29 to 523 of the family's 1533-position model. The record is from RNAcentral.